UGCAGUCGUACAAGGUAUCCACAGCUUUGCUUCUUUGUGACAGUGGGGAGGUUUAGUAAUGUCUGGGAAACUGCCUGAUGGAGGGGGAUAACUACUGGAAACGGUAGCUAAUACCGCAUAACGUCGCAAGACCAAAGAGGGGGACCUUCGGGCCUCUUGCCAUCGGAUGUGCCCAGAUGGGAUUAGCUAGUAGGUGGGGUAACGGCUCACCUAGGCGACGAUCCCUAGCUGGUCUGAGAGGAUGACCAGCCACACUGGAACUGAGACACUGUCCAGACUCCUACGGGAGGCAGCAGUGGGGAAUAUUGCACAAUGGGCGCAAGUCUGAUGCAGCCAUGCCGCGUGUAUGAAGAAGGCCUUCGGGUUGUAAAGUACUUUCAGCGGGGA
This 387-nucleotide ribosomal RNA is filed under the name Escherichia coli. RNAcentral describes it as "bacterial SSU rRNA". It matches the Rfam family "Bacterial small subunit ribosomal RNA", at positions 56 to 445 of the family's 1533-position model. The record is from RNAcentral. Lineage: Bacteria; Pseudomonadati; Pseudomonadota; Gammaproteobacteria; Enterobacterales; Enterobacteriaceae.